UGCCAGCCGCCGCGGUAAUACGUACUGGGCGAACGUUAUUCGGAAUCACUGGGCUUAAAGGGUGCGUAGGCGGCUAUUCAGGUCUGAUGUGAAAUCUUUCGGCUCAACCGGAAAAUUGCGUUGGAAACCGGAUGGCUUGAGUGUGCUAGGGGUGUGAGGAAUUCCUGGUGUAGAGGUGAAAUUCGUAGAUAUCAGGAGGAACACCGAUGGCGAAGGCAUCUCUCUGGGUCGAUAUUGACGCUGAGGCGCGAAGGCGUGGGUAGCGAACGGGAUUAGAUA
This 279-nucleotide ribosomal RNA is filed under the name uncultured bacterium. Its description in RNAcentral is "partial 16S ribosomal RNA". It matches the Rfam family "Bacterial small subunit ribosomal RNA", at positions 506 to 784 of the family's 1533-position model. The record is from RNAcentral.